RNAcentral lists this ribosomal RNA (265 nucleotides) under uncultured bacterium. Its description in RNAcentral is "partial 16S ribosomal RNA". It matches the Rfam family "Bacterial small subunit ribosomal RNA", at positions 793 to 1055 of the family's 1533-position model. The record is from RNAcentral.
GUCCACGCUGUAAACGAUGAGUGCUAGAUAUCGGAGGAAUUUCUUUCGGUUUCGAAGCUAACGCAUUAAGCACUCCGCCUGGGGAGUACGGUCGCAAGAUUAAAACUCAAAGGAAUUGACGGGGGCUCGCACAAGCGGUGGAGCAUGCGGUUUAAUUCGAUGUUACGCGAAAAACCUUACCAACCCUUGACAUGGUGGUCGCGGGAAGCAGAGAUGCAUCCCUUCAGUUCGGCUGGACCACACACAGGUGUUGCAUGGCUGUCGU